GCUCUCGUAGCUCAGUGGUUAGAGCCUUGGUCUUAUGAGCCAAAGGUCGCCAGUUCGAACCUGGUCGAGAGCA
Molecule: transfer RNA, 73 nt
Filed under: bacterium
Lineage: Bacteria
Description: tRNA-Ile
Rfam family: tRNA
About the family: Transfer RNA (tRNA) molecules are approximately 80 nucleotides in length. Their secondary structure includes four short double-helical elements and three loops (D, anti-codon, and T loops).
Source: RNAcentral